RNAcentral lists this ribosomal RNA (576 nucleotides) under Eusphyra blochii. Its description in RNAcentral is "partial large subunit ribosomal RNA". It matches the Rfam family "Bacterial large subunit ribosomal RNA", at positions 1817 to 2597 of the family's 2925-position model. The record is from RNAcentral. Lineage: Eukaryota; Metazoa; Chordata; Chondrichthyes; Carcharhiniformes; Sphyrnidae.
CGCCUCUUGCCAAACCAUAAGAGGUCCCGCCUGCCCUGUGACAAUGUUCAACGGCCGCGGUAUUUUGACCGUGCAAAGGUAGCGUAAUCACUUGUCUUUUAAAUGAAGACCCGUAUGAAAGGCACCACGAGAGUUUAACUGUCUCUAUUUUCCAAUCAAUGAAAUUGAUCUAUUCGUGCAGAAGCGAAUAUAACAACAUUAGACGAGAAGACCCUAUGGAGCUUCAAACACUUAAAUUAAUUAUGUAACCUUAUUCCUCUAAGGAUAUAAACAAAAUAUACAAUACUUCUAAUUUAACUGUUUUUGGUUGGGGUGACCGAGGGGAAAAAUAAAUCCCCCUCAUCGACUGAGUACUAAGUACUUAAAAAUUAGAAUGACAAUUCUAAAUAAUAAAAUAUUUAUCGAAAAAUGACCCAGGAUUUCCUGAUCAAUGAACCUAGUUACCCUAGGGAUAACAGCGCAAUCCUCUCUUAGAGUCCCUAUCGAAGAAAGGGUUUACGACCUCGAUGUUGGAUCAGGAUAUCCUAAUGGUGCAACCGCUAUUAAGGGUUCGUUUGUUCAACGAUUAAUAAUCCU